AACAUUCCUUUGAACACCACAAUAAAUAAAAGCAAAACCAUUUACGUGACAUUCAUGUUAAGAAGUUGAAACUGCUUAAUUUGAAUUCAAGCAUGAAUGCAAUAUACUACAACCUUAAUUAGCAAGAAUGCAACAUAUCUAACUGAAAAGAAAACAAAAAAGAUGUUUAUAUAGCAUACAAGUUCAUAUGCUCCUGUUCCCAUUCAAUAAUAUGUUAUACAACAUAAAUGCAUUCACUUAACCAAAGCGGUCGAUCAGCCAAGCCAUAUCUUGUGUCUCCCCUCUGGCCCUCUUGCUAUUGAGGUUGAAAGAGUUUAUAAUAGGGUAAGCUUCAUUUACGGUGCUUCAGCCAAACCCUUUUUCUUUUGUCAACGAUCAUUCAUUAAAAAUGUCUAGCAACACUUACAAAACAUACAAAAUGCAUGCUAAACAGAGUGUUACAACAGUGUACAAUAUAUCGACAAUGGCGAUCAGACACGCACACUAAAAAUUAACAACAAAAACACAAAAAAAGAUUAAAAAAAUCCCAUUAAUUAAUGAACUGAUCCGUGGACACGGUCAAGAAAUUGAAGCCCAAGGGUGUGACUAUCGUGGAGCAAGAAGUGAACCACAAUGGGCCGGUUUUUCUGAACAUCAAGGAUGCAUAACUGAAACUUCUUAAAGCUUGGGUUUUUCUAAGGUGUUCGAAUUCAGUUUUGGGAACAAACAUGGGAAGGCAUAUAAGAUCAAUGCAGAUGCGUUUUGAGUAGAGAAAGAUAUCAAAAGCGUUAGAACAAAGAAAAUAGGUGAGGGAGGCUAUGAUAUGGGAGUGGCAUGUAUGCAUGCUCUCUUAAUGCAUGAUAACAAUGUUAAGAGAUAUGAUGAUUGCAAGUGAGGAGUGAACCCUAUAUAAUAG
This 895-nucleotide long non-coding RNA is filed under the name Glycine max (soybean). RNAcentral describes it as "long non-coding RNA (GMAX_LNC002452)". Lineage: Eukaryota; Viridiplantae; Streptophyta; Magnoliopsida; Fabales; Fabaceae. The record is from RNAcentral.